AACGAACGCUGGCGGCAUGCCUAACACAUGCAAGUCGAACGAGACCUUCGGGUCUAGUGGCGCACGGGUGCUUAACGCGGGGGAACCUGCCCUUAGGUUCGGAAUAACUCCCCGAAAGGGGUGCUAAUACCGGAUAAUGUCUUCGGACCAAAGAUUUAUCGCCUUUGGAUGGGCCCGCGUUGGAUUAGCUAGUUGGUAGGGUAAAAGCCUACCAAGGCGACGAUGCAGAGCUGGUCGGAGAGGAGGAUCAGCCACACUGGGACUGAGACACGGCCCAGACUCCUACGGGAGGCAGCAGUGGGGAAUAUUGGACAAGGGGCGCAAGCCUGAUACAGCCACGCCGCGUGAGUGAUGAAGGCCUUAGGGUUGUAAAGCUCUUUUACCCGGGAUGAUAAUGACAGUACCGGGUGAAUAAGCUCCGGCUAACUACGUG
RNAcentral lists this ribosomal RNA (433 nucleotides) under uncultured bacterium. RNAcentral describes it as "partial 16S ribosomal RNA". It matches the Rfam family "Bacterial small subunit ribosomal RNA", at positions 29 to 507 of the family's 1533-position model. The record is from RNAcentral.